ACUCAAUAGAUACCCAGGUAGUCCACGCCCUAAACGAUGUCUACUAGUUGUCGGGUCUUAAUUGACUUGGUAAACGCAGCUAAACGCGUGAAGUAGACCGCCUGGGGAGUACGGUCGCAAGAUUAAAACUCAAAGGAAUUGACGGGGACUCGCACAAGCGGUGGAUGAUGUGGAUUAAUUCGAUGCAACGCGAAAACCUUACCUACUCUUGACAUGGAUGGAAUCCCUGAGAGAUUGGGGAGUGCCCGAAAGGGAACCAUUACACAGGUGCUGCAUGGCUGUCGUCAGCUCGUGUCGUGAGAUGUUGGGUUAAGUCCCGCAACGAGCGCAACCCUUGUCAUUAGUUGCUACGAAAGGGCACUCUAAUGAGACUGCCGGUGACAAACCGGAGGAAGGUGGGGAUGACGUCAAGUCCUCAUGGCCCUUAUGGGUAGGGCUUCACACGUCAUGCAAUGGUACAUACAGAGGGCCGCCAACCCGCGAGGGGAGCUAAUCCCAGAAAGUGUAUCGUAGUCCGGAUUGUAGUCUGC
This 530-nucleotide ribosomal RNA is filed under the name uncultured bacterium. Its description in RNAcentral is "bacterial SSU rRNA". It matches the Rfam family "Bacterial small subunit ribosomal RNA", at positions 772 to 1308 of the family's 1533-position model. The record is from RNAcentral.